ACCACCAUUGUGUCCUUGAGUAAGACACUUAACUCCAGGUUGUUCCGGGGGGAUUGUCCCUGUAAUAAGUGCUCUGUAUAAUACAUUGGUACUCAGAAGGUUGCUGGUUUGAUCCCCACAGUCACCACCAUUGUGUCCUUGAGUAAGACACUUAACUCCAGGUUGUUCCGGGGGGAUUGUCCCUGUAAUAAGUGCACUGUAUAAUACAUUGGUACUCAGAAGGUUGCUGGUUUGAUCCCCACAGUCACCACCAUUGUGUCCUUGAGUAAGACACUUAACUCCAGGUUGCUCCGGGGGGAUUGUCCCUGUAAUAAGUGCACUGUAUAAUACAUUGGUACUCAGAAGGUUGCUGGUUUGAUCCCCACAGUCACCACCAUUGUGUCCUUGAGUAAGGCACUUAACUCCAGGUUGCUCCGGGGGGAUUGUCCCUGUAAUAAGUGCACUGUAUAAUACAUUGGUACUCAGAAGGUUGCUGGUUUGAUCCCCACAGUCACCACCAUUGUGUCCUUGAGUAAGACACUUAACUCCAGGUUGCUCCGGGGGGAUUGUCCCUGUAAUAAGUGCACUGUAUAAUACAUUGGUACUCAGAAGGUUGCUGGUUUGAUCCCCACAGU
Xyrauchen texanus (razorback sucker) is the source of this 614-nucleotide long non-coding RNA. RefSeq lists it as uncharacterized. Lineage: Eukaryota; Metazoa; Chordata; Actinopteri; Cypriniformes; Catostomidae. The transcript is spliced from 3 exons. The record is from RefSeq and is a predicted model, not a curated record.